Molecule: long non-coding RNA, 225 nt
Filed under: Mytilus galloprovincialis (Mediterranean mussel)
Lineage: Eukaryota; Metazoa; Mollusca; Bivalvia; Mytilida; Mytilidae
Source: RNAcentral
AGGAAAUAGAAACCGAAUAAGGAAAUAGAAACCGAAAAAGGUAAUGAAUAUUGAAAAAGGAAAAAGAAACCGAAUAAGGAAAAAGGAACCGAAUAAGGAAAAAGAAACCGAAUAAGGAAAUGGAAAUUGAAUAAGGAAAUGAAAAUCCAAUAAGGAAAUAGAAACCGAAUAAGGAACUAGAAACCGAAAAAGGAAAUGAAUAUUGAAAAAGGAAAAAGAAACCGA